UGAUAUUGCAUGUUGUGAAAAACUUGCAUAAUGGUAAGGGAUUUUAUUUCUGCAGGUUGUCAAAGCAUCCAUUGUACCAAAAUUUGAAAAAGUUGAAAAAGAAAUGAAAUUUGGAAAUAGAAAACUGAAAAUAGUUUUCCACAGGGCCUUGACUUUCAGUUUCAAACAGACCCUAUUUUCACAUAGAUGCCUACCUUAAUUGCAAGAAUAUCAACUAAAGUGCCAAUACAUAAUUUAAGAAAAGACCACAAAGCUGCGGUCAUAGCCUUUGUCAAUGGUAGCAGAGGCUUUCAAAUAAACCUAUGUAAUUCCAAGAAUUACUGUACAAGACUAGUGUUUACCUUUCAUCAACUUCUACAUUAACCUCAGGAACUACCUCUAGUAUUGAUGGUAGCAUUGAAAAACUAGAGGACUGCCCAAACUGAAAUGGAUAGGGAGGCUUCUUAACAGGUAUUUCAUUCUCAAGCACGAAUACAACCUGGUUCAUUGAAGGUCUUAUUUCAGGAUUAUAAUGAGAGCACCAUAAUGCAACCGUAGCUAAUAACUUUGCUCUCCCUCUUUCUUUCUCUGUGAUCUCACAGUCCUUUAUAAGUUGGUCUAGCUGUCCAUUAUUAAACUUCUGCCCAAACUUGUUCUGGAAACCAGUUUUCGCAUUCUCCAUUGCUUCUCCUCCCUAAAAUUUCAAACAACAUCAUGCCAAAGCUGUAAACAUCACAUUUGUAAGUUACGCGUGAUCCCGGCAACCAAGUCUCUGGGGCAUUAUAACCUUGAGUGCCUCUGGUUCUGGUCAAGGGAAGUUUCGAGAUAUCCCGUUUCAUAAGCUUUGAUAAUCCAAAAUCCGUAAUUCUAGGCGAAAAAUUCUUGUCAAGGAGCACAUUACCAGCCUUUAUGUCAUAGUGAAUUAUCCGUUCAUCCCCACCAUCGUGCAAAUAAAGAAGCCCCCUUGCAGUCUGCACUGCAAUGCUAUAGAAUGUCUCCCAGUCUAUACCACUACCGUGGUUCUCGUACAAAAUCGUAUCCAAAGAACCGUUCUCCAUAUAUUCAUAAACAAGUGCUUUCAUGUUCUGCUCAAAGCAAUACCCAUAGAGUUUCACUAAGUUCCGAUGGUAAGCCUUUCCCAUUGUGCUGAUUUCGGCCAUGAAGAUCUCUUCAACAACAUCUUUAGUCACCAGUACUUUAACAGCUACUUGCAAACCACCAGGAAAUUGGCCUUGGUAGACAUCUCCAUACGCGCCAGAGCCUAUUUUACUAGAUUCCGAGAAAUGUGAUGUAAACUUUUCAAGAUCCCAAUGAGAGUAUCGCUUUGGACCCAAUUCACUUAAGAACUUUUCAACCAAGUCUGAGCUAGUGGCUUCUUCCAGUGUACUAGGAUUCAUCAUAUUUAUGAGGUUGCUACAAGUCUCCCAGUUCACGAGUGUGUACAAGUCGCAAGAAUCCCUGUCAGGCAUUACAGAUCCAAUGUACAGUCCUGCCGCCAUCGGUUCACCCACCCUCCACAAACACGCAAAAUUUCCACUUUGGACAUGGCGAAAUCUGACAUUAGUGGAUUGGUCUUCCUCUAAUUUAAACAGUGUACAAUAGAUUUUGGAUUUGUCUUCCUCUGGAUGCUUAGCCCCAGCAACGAUCCAACCAUUGCCCUCUUGGCCACUGAGAUUCCUGACCAUGUAUCUGUUGUUGAAACAACUUUUUAUGUGCAUCAGUCCCUUAUCUUUAUUCUCAGUGCUGUUUGCCAUUUCCAAUGCAAACUUUGCAGUUGGGCUCAUAUCCUCAUCCCCAUCAAAUUUCAUAUACCCUUCCGGUACACUCUUAUUAUUAAGAUCUGUUAAGCUCAGAUACUUAUUGUUGUAAACUGAUUUUACUACCACAAACCUUGCCAUUAAUUUCUCUAUAGAAAUAAAAUUGACAACUUUAACUCUAGGUAAACCACAGGACAGAAGAGAUGGAAAUCUUGAGUUUACCUUAAUUUCUAAAUGAAAUCGUGGUAGAGGUGACUGGAGAAUGAAGAUCAGAUCACAAACCAGACCGCAAAGAAGAAGAAGAAGAAGAUAGAUGAUGGAAAAUAGAAUAGAAUAGAAUUAGAUGAUAUCGGUUGAAGUUUUUCACUUUAAUCAGUUAUUAAUGGUGGAGAUCGAAGGUACUUUCAAGUUUCAACAACUUUCAACUUGUUUGUUUCUUUAAAAAUAUAAAAAAAAUAAUAUCAGCUGUGUCACACACUGAAUUCAAGCCCCACAUCUUUAAAUAAUUGAAAUUUGAAAGACAACCAAUCAACAGACAUCAAUAGUCAAAAGUUUAAAGGAAGACAGCUCACACUGAAAUUUUGUCUCCUCGAACGGAAAAUAAUAAAUAAUUUGAAGGAGCCUUCCGUCUAACUUCCAUCCAAUAAUUGAACCUUCUUGAGUAUUUGAUUUGACAUAGGUCCAUGUUUUAAAUGUGUUUUCUGAGAUGGAAAAAAUACAUUAAAUGAGUUGUUCAAGUUCAACAACUUUAAUUUAAUAAAUAUAUUUUUAAACAAAUUUGUGAAACCCAAUGUUUUUUUUUCUUCCAAAAUAUUUUUAUAUAACUUUUAUUUUUUAUAAUUUUUUUUUCUUUAAAACAUAUAGUUUUUUUUUAAAAAUUUAUACUCUUCUUUCAUCUUAAACUCCACUUUUUUUAUUUUCUAGUUUUAAGGAAUCAAGAUGAAUAAAAUACUAUUAACUUGAUAAAAAAAAAUAACACAAAACUAAAUAAUUGAGGAAUUAAAGAUAGUUUAAUGGGUUGUUUAUCUAUUAAACAUAUUUUAUUUUUAUUUUUAUAAUUUAAAAAUUCAAGAAGUUAAAUUUUGAGUGUCGGAAUGAUUACAAAACAACUGGUAGCUCAGUUGGUCUGGUACUCCUCUCACACGAGUGAGAGGUUGUGAGGUCAAUUCCCACCCAGAGUUCUUGGAAAAAUUUCUCGUCAAAGCCCUCGGUCAUGGUUCGUGAUUAGAAGGCCUAUACUCCCAUGAUGUCAUGAUGUGCUUGUUUGUUGUCAUUCAGCAAAAGCAAGUCCCUGUGUAGCUAUGCCCAGCUGGCAACUUUGAAUGAUGUCAUGAUGUGGUUGUUUGUUGUCAUUCAGCGAAAGCAAGUCCCUGUGUAGCUAUGCCCAGCUGGCAACUACUUCAAAGUAUUAUAUCUGUUGAAUUUUGAAGUAGUUGUCAGGUUGUGGAAAAUUUUUCUGUUGUCAUUCAGCGAAACCCAAUACUUUUUUUGUGAAACCCAAUACUUCAAUUUAAUAAUAGUGUCCCUCAGAAGGCAGAUCAACACUAUGCCCAGCUGAUGUUUUGAUAAAUAGUUCGUUAGAAGAGAAACAUGCAUGUGUUGACAUCAUAUCACAGGGGCAUCUCCGAUGGUGGGGUUUGGUAAUGAAAAUUUCGAAGUGGGUCAGACAGUCACUCAUGCAGGUGCAACUAAGGUACAAAAACACGAGAGGACAUGUGCAACGAACCAGCAUUGUUUCAUUCUUUUUUCUUUUGACACUUUUGGGUUUUUAACACCAGAAGCAGUUGAACUUCUCAGGAGGAUAGAAAAAGUGAUGAGUAACAAUGUGAUGACCGCGGGUUCGAAUGAAUAUGCAUUUCGUCGGAUUGGUUUUGAUAUUCAAAAAGGGCUUGUAGCGCAGUUUGUAGUGCGCUUGUCCUCUAACUUUGUGUAAUUCCUCCAAUCUUUAUCAAUAAAAUUUGUUCCGGAUUUUUAAAAAAAAAAAAAAAAAAGUGUUGGAUUGAUUGUUCAAUGGAUUUCUAGUAUUUUUCUUACUGGAUCACUAAUUUUAAAAAUUCGAUUGAGGAAAGUGUAUUAAUUUGAAAAUAAGAUCAGAGGAUUAGUGUUUACUUUAUUCAUUUUUAUUUUCUUUUGUCUUAAAUCUAUGGGUUCUGCAUCAGUUAUUUACUAAUUCUUUUAUAGUAAAUAUGUGGGUCAUGUAUUAAUUAUUAAAAGUCCAAGAGAAAAAAAUAUAUGGUGAAAAAGAGGGUUCUAUCGAACCGUUGAUGGAGGUGGGUUCCUUCAAAAUAAUUAGAAAAAGAAUAAAAUAAAAUUAUAAUGGGAAUAUAUAAAAAUAAAAAUAAUACUAACCCAUGCAUUUUUAUUUUUUUUUUAUAAGUAAAAAUUUAUUAAUUAUGAGAAAGAAUUACAGCACAACAACAACCCAAAACUGGAUUGAGAUAUGUUCCAGAUGAAGCUAAUAAAAACAACUGAUUAUCCUAGUGUGCCAGAAAUAAUCUCCUCCCAAUUGAAUAACAGGUCCUGAAACCUGUGAUGUUUUCUUUCCUCCCAAGCCCCAAGUCAGUACCAAAUUGUAGCCUUUAUCUCCUUACAAGAUCCCUGGAUGCUCUGCACCUCUUGACGAAAAAUUAUGUGAUUUCUCUUCUUCCACAGUGUCCAUAUAACUGCAUAUGGCAAAAGCUUACAAAAUAACCCAUGCAUAGCACGGGCUAAGACACUAACAUACAAAAUAAAAUAAAAACAACAAUUGCAGCCAACACUGACAUCCAAUUCUUCCUUACUAUCUGCUUUUUCAUUUUUUGGAUGGGUUAGCCCCCAGUCUUACAAUAAAUAAUCCUAUGCUUAAGAAUAUACGUCGAAUACCAAAAGGAGUUAUUCAUGUUCAAGAUAUGAUAUAUUUAAAACAAGAGAUAUUGAUAAUAAAAUUGUAUGUUGCAGCAGUAUAUAAUUUUAUUAUUGUAAGAUUUAAUUUGACAAUGGUCAAAUAGUAAUGAAAGCUAGUAAUAGAGCAAAUCGUUACAGUAGGUGAAAUAAAUGACAGUUGAUACUCAGAUGAUUUCAAAUGUCCAGAGCAUAAAGGUUAUGCUUGUACUGUAAGUUUAUUUGAGUUGCUUUCAAAUUACAGUAGGGAACCUAUGAUGUGUGCUUCUAGGAUUUUUUUUUUGUUGUGACUCACCUGUACAUGGAUUGUUUUUUUUUAUAAAUAAAAAUUUAUUGAUAAAAGAAAAGUAACAAGAUUACAACCUGAUCAAUUAACACAUUAAGUGUAAAUUAGAUCAAAACACUUAAAAACUCGACUAACAUGAAACAACAUAUUCUCAAGAAAAUCAAACUAAUCAUAAACCCAAGGCACACUUACCCAGGGUUGCAAUUCUUUGCAUCCAACAUCUUUUUAAAAAGUUUUUCUUGCCCUUCUAUACUCAUGCCAGUCAAACCCAUUUUCUUAGCCAAAGGGACCACAACAUAUUUCACUAAAUUUUCAUGUCCACAAUUUCACCUCCUAUCAAGCGAUUAGCAAUUUUCGACAUUUUAGCCGAAUGAUGUUGUUGCUCAGUCAAACUAACCUGGAGGGCAAUCGCUUUUCAAGAGUGAGUUGUGUAUGAUUUUUCUUCUUCUUUGUCUUCUUCAAAACACUCCCAUUAGCUUCCUUUUUGUGGAGAAUCAUAUUUUCGGUUACACUUUCAUCAUUCUUGUCUCCACUGUAGGUUCUAUUCUUUCUAGCCUUCUCCAUUAAUUCAUUACUCAAAUGAUCAGCAAUUCCAUCAUCUAGUAUCACUGUAGGGGUACUAUAUACAACAUACAUGUGGCACCAUCUCUACCGUCCAUCAUGGUGCCACAUGUCAACAUCUAAUGGGCUCUCUCUUGAUGGCACAAGUUACAAAGUUAAGCCUUAUUAUUACAAAGAUAUUUUCCCCAUUAUUACCCUAUUAAUUGCUAAGAAUGGAGUUACAUUGUAGCCUAUAAAUAUAAAGGCAAACUACUCAUCUUCUCAUGGUCUCAUUGUGAAUCAUACACAAGACCUCAACACUCUCUCAUGACACCUCACCUCUCAGGUCUCAUCUCUCUCUUGAGCUCUCUCCAUUAUCGAGCUCCCAUUUUGUAUCACCACUACUAUAAUAAAGUUCAUUCUCUCUCUCCGUGGAUGUAGGCACAAUUGCCGAACCACGUAUACAAUGGUGUUCACGUCUCUACUUUAUUAUUGUUCAUAUCAUACACAUCAUCAUCUUUCAUUAAUGUAUUGACCAACCUCACAAAUAUGGUUAAUACAUUUGGCGCCGACUACAGGGACUUGGGAUUUUCUCAAGCGAAUUCCACCCACCAACCCCACCGAACACCAUUGUUCUAAGGUUCUCAGAUGGUGAUUUUCAAGAAAUUCAUUGAAUUUGAAAAGAUAGAAUUGCAACUCACAGUUGGGGGCUUGGAGCAAAUUGUUUACACAAUUACUGGACUCGACAGAAGCAAGAUAAGUAUCACUUUAAUAUUUUUUGGUGAUUGAAAUGAGGCACCGAGCUAUCAAGGAGCGACCUCAUCAUCUACUGUUUAUUCUACACAGUUUCACAUAUAUUUAUCUGGUGGUAUAUUUUCAUGUACAAAUAUCAGUUUACAUUCUCAUUAUAUUGAUAUGUUUAAUUAUCAAUUCAACAUGUGGCCAUGGUUCAACAACUUAUUUCAGAUCCAUUUGCCAUGCCACAUCAAUUCUCGUGAUUAUUUACAAAAAACCAUGGAAUGGAUUCAGUUACUGAUUCACAUUUUUUACCUUGGUCAUAUGGUCUUUCAAGUUCAGGUCUCUUAUUGUGACCUCGACAGGUCUACCAACGACCUCUCAGGUCUCGUCGCGACCUCACCAGGUCCUUCAUACCAGGUCUUUCAUGCCAGGUCCUUCAUACCAGGUCUUUCAUGCCAGGUCCUUCAUACUAGGUCCUUCAUGCCAGGUCCUUCAUACCAGGUCUUUCAUGCCAGGUCCUUCAUACCAGGUUCUUCAUGCCAGGUCCUUCAUACCAGGUCCUUCAUGCCAGGUCCUUCAUACCAGGUCCUUCAUACCAGGUCCUUCAUACCAGGUCCUUCAUACCAGGUCCUUCAUGCCAGGUCCUUCAUACCAGGUCCUUCAUGCCAGGUCCUUCAUGCCAGGUUCUUCAUACCAGGUCCUUCAUCGCGACCUCACCAGGUCUAUCAACGACCUCCUCAAAUUACAGGUCUUUCAACGACCUCAAGAAUAUUUAUGCCAUACAGGGGGCUAUUCUCACUUUAUCUAAUGAAAUUAACUUAUUAUUAGCACAAUUAGCUAUUAAUGAUAUUUUUUGUAGCUCUCUCUAUGUGCAUGUCACAUGAACACGACCUCACUCCCCAUGAGCUAUUUUUGCACAAAUGUGCCACAUUGCUUUCACUGAACUCUUUACAAGUGAAAUGCUUGAUAUACAAUACGGCCACCCUCAUUGACUAGUGAGUCACUCGUAUGCGGGACGACCUCAAACAAAAUUCUCUAGCCACACGCCUGGUCGAACGCAUUCACUCUCAACGCAAUGCAGACCCACAAAGGCCACAUGCCCGAGAAUUGUCAAACAGGUCUCCACGCUGCGACCAUUCACUAGAUCGGGAACCAAAAGGUUCCAAGUAACUCUCAAAACACUUGGUCAACCAAUGCUCUUUCUCAAACGAGCUACAUGUGCACUCCAAAGUGCCACAUCUAUUGGAAUGUCCAAUCACAAGGCGACAAAGAUAGUACAUAAAAAACUCAUAAGGAAGACAUACAGUUCAGUGUAAGUCUCUUACUAAAUUUUAUAAUAUUUCACAUGCUAACAUUAUCAACAAGUAUCAGGUCUAUGCAACUCGACCACAAAAAGACAACCACCCAUGUAUGCAAGAAGACCCACUUCAGUACGACCUGCUUGCAGCUGUACAUCUCGUCUACUUGCCUUCUGAACGAGCUACCAGGUCUCCCUGGAACUAACUAGCUCGCUAUACACAAAUUCAUGAUCGAGUUGCCAUUACCACAAGGGACCUUCAUCGCGUCCUGCAAAUCUCAAUGAUCAAGCUCAUCAAAAUUUGGGGCGGAUCGACUUCGUUAAAGAACCCCAUAUUUCAUUCAUCUUGGGGGCUGGAUCGGUUCGAUUACUUCUUUUCAGCCCGAACUCCGUUCAACCUAAAAAGAGGGGGCUUAUGUAGGGGUACUAUAUACAACAUACAUGUGGCACCAUCUCUACCGUCCAUCAUGGUGCCACAUGUCAACAUCUAAUGGGCUCUCUCUUGAUGGCACAAGUUACAAAGUUAAGCCUUAUUAUUACAAAGAUAUUUUCCCCAUUAUUACCCUAUUAAUUGCUAAGAAUGGAGUUACAUUGUAGCCUAUAAAUAUAAAGGCAAACUACUCAUCUUCUCAUGGUCUCAUUGUGAAUCAUACACAAGACCUCAACACUCUCUCAUGAGACCUCACCUCUCAGGUCUCAUCUCUCUCUUGAGCUCUCUCCAUUAUCGAGCUCCCAUUUUGUAUCACCACUACUAUAAUAAAGUUCAUUCUCUCUCUCCGUGGAUGUAGGCACAAUUGCCGAACCACGUAUACAAUGGUGUUCACGUCUCUACUUUAUUAUUGUUCAUAUCAUACACAUCAUCAUCUUUCAUUAAUGUAUUGACCAACCUCACAAAUAUGGUUAAUACAAUCACUAUCUCUGAGUUUAUUUGAGUUGCUUUCAAAUUACAGUAGGAAUCCUAUGAUGUGUGCUUCUGGGAUUUUUUUUUGUUGCGACUCACCUGUACAUGGAUUGUUAUCGGAAAGCCAGUACAGUAUUACCAAACCUAUUAUACAUCCAGGUACAUAUCGGACCGAAGUAAUGUUUGUUUCGAUACUUACUUUGGAAUGCUCUUCCACAAAACCCCACAUUGUUCAAUAUGUAAGUGGCCUUAAAGUUGUAAGUCAGAAAAUUCUAUCAACCAUUGUCUUGUCCAAUUUCUGUAUGUAUCUUCUGGUUCAAGAUUGUUCUCCAAUUCAGCCCACCUUGGGUUGUAUGACAUUGCUACAAAAACAUAAUCAAUAGUAUCCAUUCUAUUGAGAAUAUGAUGGUAUGCUAAUUUGGGUUGUUCUAAUAAAUAUUAACUAUAUCAAAAAUUGAGUAUAAGCAAUUAAACCAAUCUAAAAUCUGUUUAUUGUUCUUUUAUCUCUUUGAAAUUUUGAGAAGUCCGUUACUUCCGAAAUUUGUUUGGGAUUUUUAGACUUAACCUCUUUUAUUAUGAUAAUAUUGUAAAUAAACCCCCUCGUUUUGUCCAAAAUCGGACUUUACCCUCUCCGUCUCCCUUCCGUCCCAUUUAACGUUUAAUUUCUAAUAUUCUGACAAAAAUACCCCCUACACUGUAUACUCUUUGAGAAGAAGAUGCAAAGUUUGGUUGGAUUUUCUAUGUUAAAAAUGGUAGAAGAAAUCAUGGUCUUUGGAAGGAAAACAAACAAAAACCAAUUUUAAUUAGUUUCAUCAGAUUCUAAUUUCUUCUUGUAAAAUUAAAUUUGUAGUUGUAGGAUUGUGCUGAUGGGUUGUACAAGUUCAAAGUUAGAUUGUUAUUUUCGAUCAAGAUCUUAUCGACAACUCUCCUUCUUCUUUCUUUUUCUCCAUUUCAUCAUCAUUCUGGUCAUUCUUCACUUUCACAUUAUCAACAAUAAAAUCACCCCCCACACUUUAUUAUCAACCUCCUUUAACAUUAGCAAGAUGAAGAUUGAUCUACGCCGUCGAUUGUUCAUGAAAAAAUUAAAGGCCAAUGAGUCCAGAAACUAUUUAUAUGAUUAGCCAUGGUGGUGGUGGUGCUGAUGGUGGUGAUUCAUCUUCUUAUUAUACUAAUUAUUACCCAUCUUCUUCCUCUUACUCUAAUUAUAGGUUAAAUGGUUCGGGUUCACCGCAUUGUGAUAAAUUUUUUUUGCAAAAAGCAAGCGUGGGGUUUAGGCAGACCCCAACCAGAUAUUAUUAACUUUGAAGAAAAAUCAGAUUACAUUCUUUGGUAAAGUGUGCCAUUGGCAUCGCUUUCCAGGAACUUAUCAAUUACAUCUCCCAUGGGGUAGGCAAAAAAGAUAAUGUUCUCAGUGUCAGGGUAUGUUGUAGCCAAAGCAUCAGCAACUUUAUUAGAUUCCCUAAACACAUGUUGGAUAAUAACCUCUUCAAAAGCACUCCUAAGAGUGUUGAUAUACUGAACCAUGCUAAGUGCUAACAAGUCCUCCAGGUUGGAGGUGUUAACUGUUAAGUCGUUUAGAAUUCUGGAAACUUGCAUAGAACCAAUUUGUACCAUGAUCUUCUUCAGUCCCAUAUCUUUAGCUAGCUCAAGCCCUUUCUCAACUGCUAUCAUCUCAAGAAAGAGACCCGAAUUUGAUGAUGAACCUGCAAUAUAAGCUUGUAAUACUUGCCCUUGUUCAUUCCGCAAUACACCUGCAUAUCCAGUGUCGUGUUGUCCCAUUGCUCCAUCAGUAUUGAGUGCUGUCCAUCCACUAGGGGGUGGGGUCCAGGCAUUGUGAUAAAUUUCAAGAUGAAGUGUUUAAAAAAACAUUCAUACAAAAGAAGAGGAUUGCAAAACAGAGGAGGGGGUAUUUUGAUCAAACUACUGAAAAAUAUACGUUAAGGGCCCGUUCGGCAACACCAUAGAAAUGCAUUUCUUUCCUUCUUAGAAGUAAAAAAAAAAAGGAGAAAGUCUGUUCGGCAACAAUUUUAGAAUGUAUUUCUAAGAAAACAAUUUUACAAGAAGUUUCUCGUUUUAACUUUUACUUCCGCCUUCCUCCUUUCCAACAAAAAACUUACUAAAAAAUUUCAUCCUGAUUUCACAUUGGUUGCCGAACGGCCCUAAAUGAGACAAAAGAGAGACGGAAAGAGGUAAAAUCAAAUUUUGGACAAAAAGAAGAGUUUAUGCAAAUUUUUGUUGAUCACUUUACCAUUAUUCUUUGCCCUGCUGUCCAACCCCUGGACACUCUCCAUAGAAGGACUAUCUCUGACCUCUUCCCUCCAAUCCUGGAUAAUUUAGACAAUGACUUUCUCACCACACUAGGCCUGUAAAAAUGGCCCUUUGACCCUAAACCCGGCCCAGCCCGCCCGACCCAUUCAAUGAAAAAAGCCCUUAAAGCUUGACCCUUAUGAUUUUUAGGGUAGGGCCGGCCCGACCCUCUCCUUUCAAGGGUCGGGUUAGGGUUUAGCUUUGGAAAUCGUAGACCAUACCUUAGCCCGACCCUAAUUAACCCUCUCAAAGCCCUCUUACGGCCCUCAUAAAUAUAUGUAUAAUUUUUAAUAUAUUUCUUUAUAUAUCAAAAUUUGAACAUUUUUUUUAGAAUUUUAAUCGUAAAGAUUUUUCCAAUUAGACAUAUAUGUCACUUUUUUUUAAGUUAUAUGAUAUUUAUCAAAUGUUUAUCGAAUAUUUUCCGAACUAGUUGUUAAAAAACUAUUAUAUAACUAAAAGAAAUUGAUUCUCAAUAAAAUAUUUUUUUUAACCAUAUAUUUCAUUAUUGAGCAUGCAAUAAACGAUAAUUAGAUUAUUAUUUUAAAUGUGUAUUUUAUACUUAUCAUACUAGAAUUUUAUAAAUUUAGGAUUAAAUUUCUAAAGUUUGAAAUUUUAGUAAUAAGAUAACAUCUAACUACGAGUUCUUUGUAUUUAUUAAUUGUAAUGCUCUUGGAUAAAAUAAUAUCAUAUACUAUAACAAAUUUUAUGGUGAAAAAAAUAUAUUUGUACAUUUAAGAAUUGAAACAUAUUAUACGUAUUUUCAAAAAUAUUAAUAAAAACAUGAUCGCAUAUUUUUAUUCAAGUAAAACAUAAUUCUAUGUAUCGACCCUAUCAACCGGGCCCGUUAGCCCGACCCUCAACCCUUUAAAAUAAAGGGCUAAGGGUUGGGUGAGGUUUUCACAAUUUUUGUGUUGGUCCGCCCUAACCCGACCCUCAUCAUCUUUUAGGGUAGGGUUGCCCGACCCUUAAAGUGUGAGGGCUCGAGGGUUCAAAGGCCGGGCUAGCCCUACCCGACCCAUUUUACAGGUCUACACCACACCCUCCACCAUGGAUGAGAUCAAGUUUUAUAUGGAUGGGAUAGGGGCCCUCAAGUCCCCUGGUCCUGAUGGUUUUCCAAGCCUUUUUUGUCACCACUCCUGGGAUACCACAAAGGACGAUAUCUUCAGAAUGGUUUUGGAUUUUUGGAUGAAUAACUUCUCCCUUGAGCAAAUAAACAAGACUAACAUAGCUCUCAUCCCGAAAUGCCCUAAUCCCUCUCAUCCGGCGGAUUUUAGGCCCAUUAGUCUUUGUAAUAUGAUAUACAAAGUCAUAUCUAAAUCCAUUGCUGAAAGAUUAAAAACUUUCCUCCCUAACAUCAUCUCCCCUUUACAGUGCGCCUUUGUCCCUCAGAGACAAAUCUCGGAUAAUAUCAUAAUAACUCAUGAAAUUCUCCAUACUUUGAAAAAUAAAAAAGGUGAGGGGGGUCUUAUGGCUAUUAAAAUUGACAUGUCUAAAGCCUUUGAUAGGAUAAAUUGGGAUUGUCUCAUGACAAUUUUAUCCUCUCUAGGUUUCAGCGAUAAUAUCCGAAAGCACAUUUACAACUGUAUCUCUACCAUUAACUCUUCCAUCAUCUUAAAUGGGAGCCCUCAUGGUUACUUUAAAUCUACUUGUGGUCUUAGACAAGGGGACCCCCUCUCCCCCACCUUUUUCAUCCUAUCCAUGGAGCUUCUGUCUAGGCUUCUAAAUGCUAAAUGCAAUCAAGGGAAACUUCAUGGCAUAAAGGUUGCCAAAAACAACCCUCCUAUUUCUCAUCUCCUCUUUGCAGGUGACAUUUUCAUUUUCUGCAGAGCAAAUGAGAUGGAAGCAAAGGAAUAAAUUGAGACAUUAGACACCUUCUGCCAUCUCUCUGGCCAGCAACUAAAUUAUGAAAAAUCGGGAGUCCUGUUUAGUAAAAACACCUCUAACUCCAACAAAGACAACAUCCUUAACAUCCUCCACAUGAAGACCUUCAACAAAAAUGAACUCUACUUAGGUACUCCUUUAUUUCUAGGAGAGAAAAAAACUUCCAUGUUCAGAUGCCUCAUAAAAAGAAUUGAAAAAAGACUUUCUGGAUGGAAAGGUAAAGUCCUUUCUCAAGCGGGAAAAAUUGUCCUUAUUAAAAAUGUCUCUUCGGCGAUACCUUCCAACCAAAUGACUUGCUUCAAAAUCCCUAAGGAAAUCACUAAGAAAAUAGACUCUAUCCAAAGAGACUUCUGGUGGGGAAAAGAGGAAAACAAAAAGAAAAUGUACCUAAGAAGUUGGGACUACAUUUGUAGGCCCAAAAGAUUAGGAGGCAUUGGAAUAAAAAAAAUGGACCUCCGGAAUGAUGCCCUUCUCUCUAGGAUAACUUGGAGACUUCUUACUAACCCUGACAACUUGUGUUCCAGGAUCUUUAAAUCCAAAUAUCACAAAAAUCCCCCCCCCCCCUCUUGCAAAGCUCCUGCAACUCUAAUGCCUCUUGGAUAUGGAAAUCUAUCUCUGAUUCUAUCCCAAAAGUCAAACUUGAAACUUGUUGGGAAAUAGGAAAUGGGGAAAAUGUCAACAUUUGGGAUGACAAUUGGGUGCCAACUUUACCCCAAUAUAGAAUCCCAAACAUCUCAAAUCAACCUCCUAACAUCCUCACUGUUAAUGACCUCCUUAUUCCAAACACUAGCUUCUGGAAUAGGUCUCUUCUUCACUCCAUCUUUGACAACAACACUUGCCACCACAUCACUAGCAUUCAACCUGGAGGAAACCACCAUCAGGACAAUCCCAAAUGGAUGCGCACAAAAAAAGGUAUACACAGUGUCAAAUCUAUGUACGCACACCUUGCCACACCACCUCACAUUACUACUGUUAAUGAGAACAUUAAUCUGAAACUUUGGAAAGCUUUAGCCACUCCUACAGCUGUUAUGUUCACCUGGAAAUGCCUUAAUCAAGUUGUCCCUACUAGAGCUCACAUAGGGCAAUUCAUGCAAUUACAAUCUCAAAACUGUCCCAUGUGUCAGCAUCAUCCUGAAACUUUGCAUCAUAUGCUUAUACAAUGCCCUUUCACUCAAAAAGUGUGGUUCCUUAGUAAAAUGAAUUUCAGACUUACACACUUUAUGAACCUGACUGUAAACCAAUGGAUAAAGUCCUGGUUUUUACCUCACAAGGACUGGUUGGUACCUCAAAAAGAAUGGGCUAGUUUCUGUGUUAUUGCUACAUGGCAGAUAUGGAAAAGCAGGUGUAUCAUGGUUAACCAAAACAAACUCUUGGAGCCAGAUCGAAUCGAUGGCUCAACAGAUUGACAAGGAAAUGUACAAGCAGUUUAAUACAACUGCAACUGCAGAUAUUCAACCAAGAUCUCAGGGUGUAGGGAUAUGGAUCCCACCAAGUAAAAGCUUCCUUAAGCUUAAUGUUGACAUCAAAUUCACAGGUGCUGAUGAAAGAAUAGGAAUUGGAUUCAUUUUGAGAACAUCAGAUGGUAUUUUUGCAGGUGCAGGAAGUUGAUCCAAUUCAGCAGGUUCAGCAGAUGAAUCAGAAUCAAGAGGAGUGUUGGAAGCCGUACUAUGGGCACUUACCAAACAUGUGACACACUUAGAGCUCGAAACCGACAACAAGGGGGUAGCUGAUUACCUCAACAGAUCUGAUGUCAACCUUUCUUGGCGCACAAGAAGUAUUUUGGAUAAUGUUUUUAUGCUUUUCUGUAAGUUUAUUGUAAUUAAGGUGAACUUUGUGGGUAGAAAAGGGAACCAAGUCGCUCACUUGCUCGCACAGCAUGCCACAGUAAGCUCUUUUGUUCCUACUUACUACUCAAAGCCACCAAGCUUCCUGUUACAGCAAUUACAGGAAGAUAAUCUACUAUGUAACAUUGCUGAAACUUAAUUUCUAUAUAUUCUGCUGAUUAUUAUAAAACAAAAAAAAAAAAGGAGAAAACUUGCUGUCAAGGAGCACAUUGCCAACCUUUAUGUUAUUGUAGUGAAUUAUUUGGUUAUCACAACCCUCGUGCAAAUAUGCGAACCCUUUUGUUGUCUCAAUAUAUUGCAGUAUUGUAAAACUUCGCCCACUCUAUGUUAUGAGGAUUUCUAUAGUCUAUACAACUGCUUUCAGGUCAUGUUCAAAAGCAAUAUCGAUAGAGUUUCACUAAGUUCCUGUGGGAAGCGUUGCUCAGUAUCUUCAUUUCAGACAUGAAUAUAUCUUCUAUGACAUCCUAUAGUAAGUGCCUUUUAAAAAACAAAAGUAUUCUUUCAAAGGCCCUAAAUAUUACCAUAUAUUGCAUUUAUUAGUUACUACUGUAUUCAUCCAUAUCCAUAUCUACUAAACAAUUUUCACAUUGAUGCCAAGCUCAAUUAUACAAUAUCAACUAGAGCACAAAUGAAUCAUUCAAGAAAAGAACAAAAAUCUGUGGUCAUAGCUUUUAUCAAUGGUAGUAGAGGCUUUUAAAUAAACCUAUGUAAGUCCAAAAAAACAAAUUACAUGUAGUGUUUACCUUUCAUCAGCAUUUGGAAGUUUGGAACCACCUCUAGUAUUGAUGGUAGCAUUGAAAAACUGGAGGACUGCCCAAAUUGAAAUGGAUAGGGAGGCUUCCUAACAGGUAUUUCAUUCUCAAGCACCAUUACAACC
Molecule: long non-coding RNA, 15287 nt
Filed under: Aquilegia coerulea
Lineage: Eukaryota; Viridiplantae; Streptophyta; Magnoliopsida; Ranunculales; Ranunculaceae
Description: long non-coding RNA (ACOE_LNC002205)
Source: RNAcentral